Oncorhynchus nerka (sockeye salmon) is the source of this 496-nucleotide long non-coding RNA. RefSeq lists it as uncharacterized. Lineage: Eukaryota; Metazoa; Chordata; Actinopteri; Salmoniformes; Salmonidae. The record is from RefSeq and is a predicted model, not a curated record. The transcript is spliced from 2 exons.
AUGAUAAUACAAGCGGAACUACGUAGCUAAUACUGUUGUAACUGGGGAUCCUUAUUGUAGCAACACACUUUUGUAGGGAAGGCAAUCCUGCGCUGCGUUAGCUAAAUUUUCAUGUCAUCGGGUGUAGUUCAUAAAGGUUGAAGAGUGUAUGUUAGGAUGAAGUGUGAAUUCAUGCCAGGAAUAAUAAGUGUGAAGUUUGAUUUCCUCCCUUCUGUAAUAAGCAGCCAAUGAGAUCAAACGUCCUGCCUGUAAAUCCUGGGUAUGCCCCACAUCAUUAAUUAAUAAAGAUGUGUAGAAAACUGUUUAGCCAUAGUUAAAGGCCUUUCAUAAAGAGCCUGUCAUGAUUGCAUGUCCCUUAUGUUUAACACGUAUUGCUUGUUACAGAAUACUACUGUUGUACAUUUAAUAUCCCCUAGCAGAUUUCGUUGCCUUUGCACAAAUUCUGUCAUGUUACUGUGGUCUUUUUAAAAGUCAAUAAAUAUGUGUGUAAAGUGUA